RNAcentral lists this transfer RNA (87 nucleotides) under Colletotrichum godetiae. RNAcentral's name for it is "tRNA-Pro". It matches the Rfam family "tRNA". From Rfam's summary of the family: Transfer RNA (tRNA) molecules are approximately 80 nucleotides in length. Their secondary structure includes four short double-helical elements and three loops (D, anti-codon, and T loops). The record is from RNAcentral. Lineage: Eukaryota; Fungi; Ascomycota; Sordariomycetes; Glomerellales; Glomerellaceae. RNAcentral also lists the same sequence under 1 other name.
GCCCUGAUGGUCUAGCGGUAUGAUUCUCCCUUAGGGUUUAAACGACGCGUCUGGGAGAGGUCCCAGGUUCGAAUCCUGGUUAGGGCC